UACAGAGGGUGCAAGCGUUAAUCGGAAUUACUGGGCGUAAAGCGUGCGUAGACGGUCAUGUAAGUCGGGUGUGAAAGCCCCGGGCUCAACCUGGGAAUUGCAUUCGAGACUGCAUGGCUAGGAUGCGGAAGAGGGAAGCGGAAUUCCCAGUGUAGCGGUGAAAUGCGUAGAUAUUGGGAGGAACACCAGUGGCGAAGGCGGCUCACUGGACCGGAACUGACGCUGAGGCGCGAAAGCGUGGGGAGCAAACGGG
RNAcentral lists this ribosomal RNA (253 nucleotides) under uncultured bacterium. RNAcentral's name for it is "partial 16S ribosomal RNA". It matches the Rfam family "Bacterial small subunit ribosomal RNA", at positions 524 to 776 of the family's 1533-position model. The record is from RNAcentral.